RNAcentral lists this ribosomal RNA (544 nucleotides) under uncultured bacterium. RNAcentral describes it as "bacterial SSU rRNA". It matches the Rfam family "Bacterial small subunit ribosomal RNA", at positions 774 to 1319 of the family's 1533-position model. The record is from RNAcentral.
AGUAAAUAGAUACCCCGGUAGUCCACGCCAUAAACGAUGGAUACUUGGUGUUGGAGGUAUUGACCCCUUCAGUGCCGGAGCUAAACGCGUUAAGUAUCCCGCCUGGGGAGUACGGUCGCAAGAUUAAAACUCAAAGAAAUUGACGGGGGCCCGCACAAGCGGUGGAGCAUGUGGUUUAAUUCGAUGCAACGCGAAGAACCUUACCUGGGUUUGACAUCUACUGGAAGACUGCCAGAAAUGGCGUCGCCUUCGGGCCGGUAGACAGGUGCUGCAUGGCUGUCGUCAGCUCGUGUCGUGAGAUGUUGGGUUAAGUCCCGCAACGAGCGCAACCCUUACCUUUAGUUGCCAGCAUUCAGUUGGGCACUCUAGAGGGACUGCCUACGUUAAGUAGGAGGAAGGUGGGGAUGACGUCAAGUCCUCAUGGCCCUUAUAUCCGGGGCUACACACGUGCUACAAUGGACGAUACAGAGGGAAGCAAACCGUAAGGGUGAGCAAAUCCCAUAAAGUCGUUCUAAGUUCGGAUUGAGGUCUGCAACUCGACCUC